GAAAUGCGAUAAGUAAUGUGAAUUGCAGAAUUCAGUGAAUCAUCGAAUCUUUGAACGCACAUUGCGCCUAUUAGUAUUCUAGUAGGCAUGCCUGUUCGAGCGUCAUUUCAACCCUCAAGCCCUGGUUGCUUGGUGUUGGGGACCUGCGGCUGCCCGCAGGCCCUGAAAACCAGUGGCGGGCUCGCUGUCACACCGAGCGUAGUAGCAAUCACCUCGCUCAGGGCGUGCUGCGGGUUCCGGCCGUUAAACAGCCUUACAAAACCCAAGGUUGACCUCGGAUCAGGUAGGAAGACCCGCUGAACUUAAGC
Molecule: unclassified non-coding RNA, 308 nt
Filed under: plant metagenome
Description: partial contains 5.8S ribosomal RNA, internal transcribed spacer 2, and large subunit ribosomal RNA
Rfam family: 5.8S ribosomal RNA (bases 1-105)
Source: RNAcentral